This 484-nucleotide ribosomal RNA is filed under the name uncultured bacterium. Its description in RNAcentral is "partial 16S ribosomal RNA". It matches the Rfam family "Bacterial small subunit ribosomal RNA", at positions 28 to 523 of the family's 1533-position model. The record is from RNAcentral.
GACGAACGCUGGCGGCGUGCUUAACACAUGCAAGUCGAACGAUGAACCCGGAGCUUGCUCCGGCGGAUUAGUGGCGAACGGGUGAGUAACACGUGAGUAACCUGCCCUUGACUCUGGGAUAACUGCUAGAAAUGGUAGCUAAUACCGGAUACGACCCUCGGUGGCAUCACCAGGGGGUGGAAAGAAUUUCGGUCAAGGAUGGACUCGCGGCCUAUCAGCUAGUUGGUGAGGUAACGGCUCACCAAGGCGACGACGGGUAGCCGGCCUGAGAGGGGGACCGGCCCCACUGGGACUGAGACACGGCCCAGACUCCUACGGGAGGCAGCAGCGGGGAAUAUUGCACAAUGGGCGCAAGCCUGAUGCAGCAACGCCGCGUGAGGGAUGACGGCCUUCGGGUUGUAAACCUCUUUUAGUAGGGAAGAAGCGAAAGUGACGGUACCUGCAGAAAAAGCACCGGCUAACUACGUGCCAGCCGCCGCCGUAA